This 1423-nucleotide ribosomal RNA is filed under the name Streptomyces polyasparticus. RNAcentral describes it as "Streptomyces sp. TRM66268-LWL partial 23S ribosomal RNA". It matches the Rfam family "Bacterial large subunit ribosomal RNA", at positions 33 to 1500 of the family's 2925-position model. Lineage: Bacteria; Bacillati; Actinomycetota; Actinomycetes; Kitasatosporales; Streptomycetaceae. The record is from RNAcentral.
CUGGCAGUCAGAGGCGAUGAAGGACGUGCUAAUCUGCGAUAAGCGUCGGUAAGGUGAUAUGAACCGUUAUAACCGGCGAUUUCCGAAUGGGGAAACCCAGUGUGAUUCGUCACACUAUCAUUAACUGAAUCCAUAGGUUAAUGAGGCGAACCGGGGGAACUGAAACAUCUAAGUACCCCGAGGAAAAGAAAUCAACCGAGAUUCCCCCAGUAGCGGCGAGCGAACGGGGAGCAGCCCAGAGCCUGAAUCAGUGUGUGUGUUAGUGGAAGCGUCUGGAAAGGCGCGCGAUACAGGGUGACAGCCCCGUACACAAAAAUGCACAUGCUGUGAGCUCGAUGAGUAGGGCGGGACACGUGGUAUCCUGUCUGAAUAUGGGGGGACCAUCCUCCAAGGCUAAAUACUCCUGACUGACCGAUAGUGAACCAGUACCGUGAGGGAAAGGCGAAAAGAACCCCGGCGAGGGGAGUGAAAAAGAACCUGAAACCGUGUACGUACAAGCAGUGGGAGCACGCUUAGGCGUGUGACUGCGUACCUUUUGUAUAAUGGGUCAGCGACUUAUAUUCUGUAGCAAGGUUAACCGAAUAGGGGAGCCGAAGGGAAACCGAGUCUUAACUGGGCGUUAAGUUGCAGGGUAUAGACCCGAAACCCGGUGAUCUAGCCAUGGGCAGGUUGAAGGUUGGGUAACACUAACUGGAGGACCGAACCGACUAAUGUUGAAAAAUUAGCGGAUGACUUGUGGCUGGGGGUGAAAGGCCAAUCAAACCGGGAGAUAGCUGGUUCUCCCCGAAAGCUAUUUAGGUAGCGCCUCGUGAAUUCAUCUCCGGGGGUAGAGCACUGUUUCGGCAAGGGGGUCAUCCCGACUUACCAACCCGAUGCAAACUGCGAAUACCGGAGAAUGUUAUCACGGGAGACACACGGCGGGUGCUAACGUCCGUCGUGAAGAGGGAAACAACCCAGACCGCCAGCUAAGGUCCCAAAGUCAUGGUUAAGUGGGAAACGAUGUGGGAAGGCACAGACAGCCAGGAUGUUGGCUUAGAAGCAGCCAUCAUUUAAAGAAAGCGUAAUAGCUCACUGGUCGAGUCGGCCUGCGCGGAAGAUGUAACGGGGCUAAACCAUGCACCGAAGCUGCGGCAGCGACGCUGAUGCGUUGUUGGGUAGGGGAGCGUUCUGUGAGCCUGCGAAGGUGUGCUGUGAGGCAUGCUGGAGGUAUCAGAAGUGCGAAUGCUGACAUAAGUAACGAUAAAGCGGGUGAAAAGCCCGCUCGCCGGAAGACCAAGGGUUCCUGUCCAACGUUAAUCGGGGCAGGGUGAGUCGACCCCUAAGGCGAGGCCGAAAGGCGUAGUCGAUGGGAAACAGGUUAAUAUUCCUGUACUUGGUGUUACUGCGAAGGGGGGACGGAGAAGGCUAUGUUGGCCGGGCGAAU